GGGAAGUGUAUCGUGUAUUUGUCUUUCUGUUCAGCACUGAGUUUGGGACCAUACUCAGCAUCUGUGGAUGUAUUUGGGGGUUCCUCCGUUCUGUCCGCUUCGUUCCGGGCAGCCGGGACGUCAUCCACAUGUCUUGUGAAGAGGCCACCCUUUACACAAGAUAUGUGUUUGACGUCUUGGUUGUUUGGAGCGGGGUGGAUGGAAUGGAGGAGCUUUUGAGUGCACUUGCUGAUGAUGGGUGUGGUCUCGGACUUGGCGUGGAGCGGAGGGGUGGGCAUGGGAUGCGCUUCCUGGACGUGCAGAUUAUAUACGAGCCCCCAGUGGUCAACACAACAGUGUAUGGGGGGCCC
Molecule: long non-coding RNA, 350 nt
Filed under: Androctonus crassicauda
Lineage: Eukaryota; Metazoa; Arthropoda; Arachnida; Scorpiones; Buthidae
Source: RNAcentral